This 466-nucleotide ribosomal RNA is filed under the name uncultured bacterium. RNAcentral describes it as "bacterial SSU rRNA". It matches the Rfam family "Bacterial small subunit ribosomal RNA", at positions 331 to 793 of the family's 1533-position model. The record is from RNAcentral.
CCAGACUCCUACGGGAGGCAGCAGUGAGGAAUAUUGGUCAAUGGUCGGGAGACUGAACCAGCCAAGUCGCGUGAGGGAAUAAGGCCCUACGGGUCGUAAACCUCUUUUGCCGGGGAGCAAGGGCGGGGACGUGUCCCGGCCCGGAGAGUACCCGGAGAAAAAGCAUCGGCUAACUCCGUGCCAGCAGCCGCGGUAAUACGGAGGAUGCGAGCGUUAUCCGGAUUUAUUGGGUUUAAAGGGUGCGUAGGCGGGCUUUUAAGUCAGCGGUAAAAAUUCGGGGCUCAACCCCGUCCGGCCGUUGAAACUGGCGUUCUUGAGUGGGCGAGAAGUAUGCGGAAUGCGUGGUGUAGCGGUGAAAUGCAUAGAUAUCACGCAGAACUCCGAUUGCGAAGGCAGCAUACCGGCGCCCAACUGACGCUGAAGCACGAAAGCGUGGGUAUCGAACAGGAUUAGAUACCCCUGUAAG